Long non-coding RNA from Betta splendens (Siamese fighting fish), 3616 nucleotides. RefSeq lists it as uncharacterized. The transcript has 2 exons. The record is from RefSeq and is a predicted model, not a curated record. Lineage: Eukaryota; Metazoa; Chordata; Actinopteri; Anabantiformes; Osphronemidae.
GUUAAUCUAUAGAAAUAAUAUUUAUACUGCUUGGCCUCAUCCACGAUUGCAUGGAUUUCCACCGUUUCAUAUUUUCCCCGGAUCUGAAGAAAGUUCUGAAUAAGUGGGCCGUUUCAUGUCCAUGUUGGUCAAAUGCUUGGAUCUGGAUCAUUUCAGACGGAAGAACACAACAAAACUGAAUCACACGGUGUGUUUAGACGGAGACACUCAACCCCCACCAGUGUUUCCGUAUACCGUCAUUUGCAUAAACAUGAGUAAUUUAUGAAUAAUAAAUGCCCGUGCGUUCAGCGGGAGCUGUUAAUUUGCAUAUCAGCGCAGCUACAGUUUUAUUUCCUUAGUGCGCUGUUAUCAUGAAGCCCUUCAAGCCGCAUAAGCCAGAAUCAAAGAAAUCUUUAACAGAUCAGAGGACGGGGGGGAAGCCCCUCUUUCAUCUCUGUGACGGUGCUUUUCACCUCCGCUGAUGACUUGCCGAGGACUAGGGCUCCGGUUGCACCUCGGGAUGCCGGGCGACGCCGAAUGCCACACACACACACACACACACACACACACACACACGCACACACACUCCGCUCCCAGCUUCUGCCCAAGACUCGGGCCACACAGAACCACAGCUGGCACUGAUGGAUGUGGCUGGAAACAGCAGAGCACUCCCUCCAUGUUGGGAAUGAAUCUGCCAGGCCCUCGUCGAUAAGGCCCAAUCGUAAUCAAUGACUUCAGGCUGAAGAGUCUGUGUUUGUGCAGGCUUCUGCCCCUUCUGCUCCGUUUCUAACAACCCUCCAUUGCCUCCACCUCAACCCUUCUUUCCUCCUCCACUUCUCCCCGGCCUGUGCCAGCAGAGAUAAUGCCGUAAUUUACAGCUUUGCAUGUUGGACGGUGAAUGAUAGUUUCUUUUCUAGCUUAAUAUGCAUUCCCCAUAGCAGGUAAUAGUCUUUUUGUAGGAAGAAUAAAAGAAAUAUCUUCAAAAGGAAUUGAGCAUUUUUAUGUUAUAUUCUUCCCUAAUGUGCUAAAAGUGAUACAUAAUGCUCAGUCUUUCAUUAGAACGAAAAUUGAUAAUGAUGAAAGUGUGCCACAUUUUUCUAUAGCUGCUUCCUUGUCAUAUUCUUUAGUGAAAUAUUUCUGGGCCAAAAAAAAUGUUUUUCCCUAUAGGUAUGUCUGCCGAGUGUAUAUGGAGCUGGAAGUGCUCAUAGACACACACACACACACACACACACACACACACACACACACACACACACACACACACACACACACACACACACACACACACACACACACAAAAUUUUGCAAACAUCUUUUGCAAAAACAUCCACUCUUGAUGCAUAUAAGGCAUAAAUAUGUAUGCCAUGUCUCAGGCACAAACAGCUUUCACUCUUCGUACGUUCACAGUGUAGUCGAAUAGACUGAAGCUACACUACGUGUUCUGGGAGAGGCCGUGGGCCGGCGUCCAGGGAACCGGCUUCCCUCGGGACCACUCCGAAGGGACCUGUGACCAGCGGGGCACAGGCAGAGGUCAGAGGUCACCUGAAGCAACAGAGUGUCAACGUGUGACCUUCUCAUGCACAAACAGCAUAAAAUGGUGAAUUAACUGCAAAUUAGGGGUUUAACAAAUCUCCCUCUACAUAUAUAAAGUAUAGAGAUUCCUUGUAAGCAGAUUUGUGAAAAGUGUAACGUGCUGUGAAUAAUUUGAUGAAUGUACUUUAAGAAACAUGCAAAACACUUUGUGUUUAGGUGUGAUUUUAAAAUUUUUACAUGCAUUUUCAUGAUUUUAAUUCCCUUCAACAAAUAUCACUGCCCUUUGUUUAUAUUAAUAUAAUGAACAGUCAUCUCUCCAAGGACUCAUCAUAUUUAAAAUAAAUGUCUGCUGUUAGCUGGAAUAAUUUUCACAAUUUGCCAUCUUCAUACCAAUCAGUUUUACAUUUCCUGAAAGCAGCGCAGACUUACAUUGUCUUAAUUAGGGACAUAGGCUGGCAGUGCAGCCACAUGUGGGAGGACCUGGAGGUUGAAGUGUUCCCUGAAUGCAGCGUGCAUCAUCAGCCUAAUGAAAUAUAACACUGAAAAUUAGGUCUGCUGAACCGAAGGCACGCAGAACAACAGGAUUCCUGAAGCCAAAUGGUGCAAGUUGCAAAAGCCUGUGUGUGUUUGCAUUCAUGCACAUCCAUGUGUGCUUAUAUAAGUGCAUUUGCUAGAGCCUAAACCGCAGAGGAAGCAAUUACACAAAUAUGUUUGUUAGAGUAUUUAUACUUUCUUUAGAACAAUAAGGAGAAAUCCCAGAGACGGAACUGCAGCUCCUUUGUCCUAGUUUGAGCACCACAUUCACCAAAGUGCAUCAAAGUGUCAGCAAUUCAAAAAAUGAAAAAUGGAUGAAGACAAUGGUGCUCUUCGCACAAUUUUUCUAAUAAACUGCCAAUCAAACUGCCGCAUGAAUGACACUAAUAUCAUGUGAUGCAGCAUUCCAUAUCAAAGAUCCCGUCGAUGCUCAUUCCUCCUUUGGCUCAAUCUGAGGCCUGUCCUCCCCUCUUAUUAUCACCAUCAUCAUUCGGACAUGAAAGGAGAGAAACAAGUGCUGCACCACUGCCAAGGAGAAACCUUGAUCUUGGAGCAUUUGCAUUCGCCACCUAGUUCCAGUGGAUGCACGGAGGCGUUACCAAGGUGCUCUCUGAUUGGAAGGCACGGAGGAAACUGGCACUCAGCUAAUGCUCAAAGGCAGCAGGCUCUCCCCCUCCCCCCUCCAGCCACUGCCACACCCAUGUGGUGGCACUAGGGGGCAGUCUACUCUGUUGGUUGUUGUUGUUGAGCAGGCAUUUACAGUAGGAGCUUCACCAGGAGAAAGGAAAUAAAUAUCAUUGAUUUAGUCAUUCAUGUGAAUUCUUCAAAAUGUCUGAAGGCCUCCUCUGAGUUUGUUGUUCAAAAUGUGAGCGAGACAUAACAUUUAUUAAACAGCUCAAUCACAGAAUCUAUAUGGAGGAUAUAGAACAAAAAUAAUAAUUAUAUAUGUUGAGGUGAGGAUUUAAUUCUCAGUAAUAAUUAUAUUCCUUUUUUAUAUGAAAAUCCCUCUAUAUUUCUAAUAUGUAAUAGAUAUGUACAAAAAGCAAUUAAUCUACUCACUAAAUAUGUGGCUAGACGCUCCCACACACUUGAAUGAGUUGCACUAUAGCUGUGUGUGCGCGCUAUACUGUCCAUCAAGAAGCUGCUAAUUAAAGGGCCUAAAACAAUGAAGCAUGGAAACCCCAAAGGAACAAUGUUCAUCUGGAGAAGAAUUAAUGUAAGAGCAGUGGUGAUUACCGUGCGGGUAGUCAUCCGUUUCAUAUUUCUAACACGAGGCAGUGGACCUCAAAUUUGAACCAUGAAGACAUUUAAAAUGUACUUUGCAUGGCGACUCGCUUAGCGCUGAAAUUUUUUUUACUCUCCAGCAUUUUUCACGGUUUUGUUCCUCCAAAUGCUGCACAUUUAAGGGAGAUUAAAGGGAGUCACAUUAAAAUAAGACAUUGUUUACAAUUAAUCCAAAACACGUGAGGGCGAAUGUCGAGUGCUUAAAUAAAUUGGCCUCUACAUGUUUGUAAAUGUUGUUUUUGUUCUUUACUGUUCAGGAAUUAAUAAAAGGUCUUUUUGCAACCUU